Molecule: microRNA precursor, 206 nt
Organism: Oryza sativa Indica Group (long-grained rice)
Lineage: Eukaryota; Viridiplantae; Streptophyta; Magnoliopsida; Poales; Poaceae
Rfam family: MIR812 microRNA precursor family
Source: Rfam
AAAAAAUCAAACCCUGGGUUUUCGUGUCCAACUUUGACUGUCAAUCUUAUAUAAAAUUUUUUUAUAAUUCGUAUUUUCAUUGUUGUUAGAUGAUAAAACAUGAUUAAUAUUUUAUGCGUGACUUGUCUUUUUAAUUUUUUUUAUAAUUUUUUUAAAUUAGACGAAUGGUCAAACGUUAGACACGGAAACCAGAGUUUGUCUUUUUU